UAGGGAAUCUUCGGCAAUGGACGAAAGUCUGACCGAGCAACGCCGCGUGGGUGAAGAAGGUUUUCGGAUCGUAAAACUCUGUUGUUAGAGAAGAACAAGGGUGAGAGUAACUGUUCACCCCUUGACGGUAUCUAACCAGAAAGCCACGGCUAACUACGUGCCAG
Molecule: ribosomal RNA, 164 nt
Filed under: uncultured bacterium
Lineage: Bacteria
Description: partial 16S ribosomal RNA
Rfam family: Bacterial small subunit ribosomal RNA
Source: RNAcentral